UCUCUCUAAACUCUUGUGCCCUAAAGCUUUCUCUGCCUUCUCUCUAGAUUUCCAACUCUCUGAACCGUGAGAAUUUGAGAUAGACACUACCCAAGCGUUCGCGACAUAGAGAGCCUCAUUUCUACCGAACGUUUUCUCCGUUCCGACCGGGUGUGGUGGAAUUUUCGUGGUGUGAGACACCAUAAAGGAGUGUUCCUGUGAGCUUGGUAGUUCAACUCUGAGAGGUGGAUGAGGUACCCCUGGAGCAGGCCUUUGAUGGUGAUGAUGCUGCAGCUUAGUUUGUUUAGGAUUUCUUAGUUAAGUUAUUCUAUCUUGAAAUACUC
Vigna angularis (adzuki bean) is the source of this 323-nucleotide long non-coding RNA. RefSeq lists it as uncharacterized. The record is from RefSeq and is a predicted model, not a curated record. Lineage: Eukaryota; Viridiplantae; Streptophyta; Magnoliopsida; Fabales; Fabaceae. The transcript has 3 exons.